AUCUGUGCUGAUUUUAAUGUUAUUUAUGGUGUUAUUUUGUAUUAUAAAUUUCUGAAUUAAUUUUGUCAUUCUUGGGUCUCUGCCGUCAGAAGUAUAUCCUAGAUGUUUUUGUAUUUGAUCAGAAGCCUUCAUGAUGCAUAAUUGAAGGCAUCUAUGCAUUGUAUGUAGAUGAGGGACGCAGAUAUUUUGAUUUUAACCCUAGGUCAAGAGUUUAUACAUCAGAAAUUGUAUACCAGUUUUGGUGUUGGCGAUUACUGUCUAGAUGCCUGCCGAGGACUUUGACAUACUGAAGCUGCUGCUGUCAAGAAGAUGGUGUUCUUGCUCCUUAGAGCUGGUGUUGCUGCUGAACUUGAUAAUUCAAAAUGUCAUGCACUUCUCGUAUUGCUGCUGAACCUGAAAUGUGUCAUUCUUCCCGUUGUAUUGCUGCUGAACCUGUUGAUUGCCAGUAAAUAUUUCAUUCUUAGGAAAUCUCAAAGCUCCUUUGUUGUGCUGUAAGAAGGUGCAUGCUGCAUCAUAUUUGGCGAGCCUCGUGUUUUAUGUACAGGUUUUCUUUAUCAAAAUUCCUGUCAUGAUGCUGUUUUUCUACAUAUUGCAAAUGUUAAUCCUUCAAGCUAGGCUAAAUUAUAGGAUAAAUUUUGUGUUUGAUUAAUUGUGUUCGUGUUUUUUGUUCAACUGUAGUUUGGUGGUGCAUAUGUUUUACGGAUUGGCAUCAUAUAAGCUAGGCUAAAAUUAUAGGAUAAAUUUUGUGCUUUGAUUAAUGGUGUUCAUGUUUUUUUGUUCAAACUGUAGUUUGGUUGUUCAGAUGUUUUACAGAUUGCCAAUUCUUGAAAUGAUGCUGCUGCACUAAUUGUGGGUAGAAGUUCCAGUUGACCCUGAUUUUUUUGGUUACGGAUAAUCUACAGAUGUAUCUGUUCUGUUGAUUUGAUUCUAUAUUUUGUUGCAUAAUAACUGUUCUACCUGACGUUUUCGUAGGUUGAAUUUAAUAUGGACAAUCAAGUAAAUCUUAUUGAACUUGUCCAAUGCGCUGGUUGGAAACCUCUGUAAGUUGGCAUUUAGUU
Molecule: long non-coding RNA, 1058 nt
Filed under: Olea europaea (common olive)
Lineage: Eukaryota; Viridiplantae; Streptophyta; Magnoliopsida; Lamiales; Oleaceae
Description: long non-coding RNA (OEUR_LNC013617)
Source: RNAcentral